UGGGGAAUUUUGGACAAUGGGCGCAAGCCUGAUCCAGCCAUGCCGCGUGAGUGAAGAAGGCCUUAGGGUUGUAAAGCUCUUUUGGCAGGGACGAUAAUGACGGUACCUGCAGAAUAAGCCCCGGCAAACUUCGUGCCAGCAGCCGCGGUAAUACGAAGGGGGCUAGCGUUGUUCGGAUUUACUGGGCGUAAAGCGCACGUAGGCGGAUUGUUAAGUCAGGGGUGAAAUCCCGGAGCUCAACUCCGGAACUGCCUUUGAUACUGGCAAUCUUGAGGCUGGAAGAGGUUGGUAGAAUUCCCAGUGUAGAGGUGAAAUUCGUAGAUAUUGGGAAGAAUACCAGUGGCGAAGGCGGCCAACUGGUCUAGAUCUGACGCUGAGGUGCGAAAGCGUGGGGAGCAAACA
RNAcentral lists this ribosomal RNA (402 nucleotides) under uncultured bacterium. RNAcentral describes it as "bacterial SSU rRNA". It matches the Rfam family "Bacterial small subunit ribosomal RNA", at positions 355 to 774 of the family's 1533-position model. The record is from RNAcentral.